Molecule: ribosomal RNA, 301 nt
Filed under: uncultured bacterium
Lineage: Bacteria
Description: partial 16S ribosomal RNA
Rfam family: Bacterial small subunit ribosomal RNA
Source: RNAcentral
CAGUCGCCGCGGGAAUACGUAGGGCGCAAGCGUUGUCCGGAAUUAUUGGGCGUAAAGAGCUCGUAGGCGGUCUGUCGCGUCUGGUGUGAAAUCCCGAGGCUCAACCUCGGGCUUGCAUCGGGUACGGGCAGACUAGAGUGCGGUAGGGGAGACUGGAAUUCCUGGUGUAGCGGUGGAAUGCGCAGAUAUCAGGAGGAACACCGAUGGCGAAGGCAGGUCUCUGGGCCGCAACUGACGUUGAGGAGCGAAAGCAUGGGGAGCGAACAGGAUUAGAUACCCCGGUAGUCCCUGUCUCUUAUAC